AUUGAACGCUGGCGGCAUGCCUUACACAUGCAAGUCGAACGGCAGCACGGGAGCAAUCCUGGUGGCGAGUGGCGAACGGGUGAGUAAUAUAUCGGAACGUGCCCAGUCGUGGGGAUAACGUAGCGAAAGCUACGCUAAUACCGCAUACGAUCUAUGAAUGAAAGCGGGGGAUCGCAAGACCUCGCGCGAUUGGAGCGGCCGAUAUCAGAUUAGGUAGUUGGUGAGGUAAAGGCUCACCAAGCCGACGAUCUGUAGCUGGUCUGAGAGGACGACCAGCCACACUGGGACUGAGACACGGCCCAGACUCCUACGGUGGCAGCAGUGGGAAUUUGGACAAUGGGCGCAAGCCUGAUCCAGCAAUGCCGCGUGCAGGAU
This 375-nucleotide ribosomal RNA is filed under the name uncultured bacterium. RNAcentral's name for it is "bacterial SSU rRNA". It matches the Rfam family "Bacterial small subunit ribosomal RNA", at positions 30 to 409 of the family's 1533-position model. The record is from RNAcentral.